This 29-nucleotide non-coding RNA is filed under the name Mus musculus (house mouse). The record is from RNAcentral. Lineage: Eukaryota; Metazoa; Chordata; Mammalia; Rodentia; Muridae.
UGGAAUCCAAUGAGUGUACACUAAAGAGC